AGUGAACGCUGGCGGUAGGCCUAACACAUGCAAGUCGAACGGCAGCACAGUAAGAGCUUGCUCUUACGGGUGGCGAGUGGCGGACGGGUGAGGAAUACAUCGGAAUCUACUUUUUCGUGGGGGAUAACGUAGGGAAACUUACGCUAAUACCGCAUACGACCUACGGGUGAAAGCAGUGGAUCUUCGGACCUUGCGCGAUUGAAUGAGCCGAUGUCGGAUUAGCUAGUUGGCGGGGUAAAGGCCCACCAAGGCGACGAUCCGUAGCGGGUCUGAGAGGAUGAUCAGCCACACUGGAACUGAGACACGGUCCAGACUCCUACGGGAGGCAGCAGUGGGGAAUAUUGGACAAUGGGCGCAAGCCUGAUCCAGCAAUACCGCGUGGGUGAAGAAGGCCUUCGGGUUGUAAAGCCCUUUUGUUGGGAAAGAAAAGCAGCAGGUUAAUACCCCGCUGUUCUGACGGUACCCAAAGAAUAAGCACCGGCUAACUUCGUG
Molecule: ribosomal RNA, 492 nt
Filed under: uncultured bacterium
Lineage: Bacteria
Description: partial 16S ribosomal RNA
Rfam family: Bacterial small subunit ribosomal RNA
Source: RNAcentral